GUGCUCACUUUGGCAGCAGUUGGAACGAUACAGAGAAGAUCCGCAUGGCCCUUGCACAAGGAAGACACACAAAUUCGUGGAACAUUCCAUAUUUUU
RNAcentral lists this small nuclear RNA (96 nucleotides) under Zalophus californianus (California sea lion). The record is from RNAcentral. Lineage: Eukaryota; Metazoa; Chordata; Mammalia; Carnivora; Otariidae.